This 467-nucleotide ribosomal RNA is filed under the name uncultured bacterium. Its description in RNAcentral is "partial 16S ribosomal RNA". It matches the Rfam family "Bacterial small subunit ribosomal RNA", at positions 28 to 507 of the family's 1533-position model. The record is from RNAcentral.
GACGAACGCUGGCGGCGUGCUUAACACAUGCAAGUCGAACGGAAAGGCUCCAGCUUGCUGGAGUACUCGAGUGGCGAACGGGUGAGUAACACGUGGGUAAUCUGCCCUGCACUCUGGGAUAAGCCUGGGAAACUGGGUCUAAUACUGGAUAUGACCUUUCUCCUUAUGGGGUUUGGUGGAAAGUUUUUCGGUGUAGGAUGAGCCCGCGGCCUAUCAGCUUGUUGGUGGGGUGAUGGCCUACCAAGGCGACGACGGGUAGCCGGCCUGAGAGGGUGAUCGGCCACAUUGGGACUGAGAUACGGCCCAGACUGCUACGGGAGGCAGCGGGGGGGAAUAUUGCACAAUGGGCGGAAGCCUGAUGCAGCGACGCCGCGUGAGGGAUGACGGCCUUCGGGUUGUAAACCUCUUUCAGCAGGAACGAAGCGUAAGUGACGGUACCUGCAGAAGAAGCACCGGCUAACUAUGUG